ACGGCCUAAAGCGUGGUUAAAUAAUAUUAAAAUUAAUAGAAAUAAAAAUUAACUUAACUGUUGUACGUAUUUGUUAAACGGAUCCCCAAAACCGAAAGAUAUUCUAAUAAACAAAUUACUUGAAUCCACGAAAGCUAAGAAACAAACUAGGAUUAGAUACCCUAUUAUGCUUAGCCUUAAACUUUGGAAUCCCGCCUGAGUACUACGAGCCACAGCUUAAAACUCAAAGGACUUGGCGGUGCUCUACACCCCCCUAGAGGAGCCUGUUCUAUAAUUGAUAAUCCCCGCUAAACCUCACCACUUAUUGCCAAUACCGCCUAUAUACCGCCGUCGUCAGCUCACCAUUUGAAUGAAUAAUAGUAGGCAUAAUGAUAAACAUAAAAACGUCAGGUCAAGGUGUAGCGAAUUAAGUGGAAAGAAAUGGGCUACAUUUUCUAUAUAGAAAAUACGAAAAAUCUUAUGAAAAAAAAUUUAAAGGUGGAUUUAGCAGUAAAAAGAAAACAUAGUGUUCUUUUUAAAUAGGCCCUAGAGCGCGCACACACCGCCCAUCACCCUCCUCAAAAAAAUUUAAUAAUAUAAUUUAAUAAAAACAAAAGAAGAGGUAAGUCGUAACAUGGUAAGUUUACCGGAAGGUGUACUUGGAUUAU
This 647-nucleotide ribosomal RNA is filed under the name Batrachuperus tibetanus (Tibetan mountain salamander). RNAcentral describes it as "partial 12S ribosomal RNA". It matches the Rfam family "Bacterial small subunit ribosomal RNA", at positions 555 to 1533 of the family's 1533-position model. The record is from RNAcentral. Lineage: Eukaryota; Metazoa; Chordata; Amphibia; Caudata; Hynobiidae.